GAUGAACGCUGGCGGCGUGCCUAAUACAUGCAAGUCGAGCGAACAGACGAGGAGCUUGCUCCUCUGACGUUAGCGGCGGACGGGUGAGUAACACGUGGAUAACCUACCUAUAAGACUGGGAUAACUUCGGGAAACCGGAGCUAAUACCGGAUAAUAUAUUGAACCGCAUGGUUCAAUAGUGAAAGACGGUUUUGCUGUCACUUAUAGCUGGAUCCGCGCCGCAUUAGCUAGUUGGUAAGGUAACGGCUUACCAAGGCAACGAUGCGUAGCCGACCUGAGAGGGUGAUCAGCCACACUGGAACUGAGACACGGUCCAGACUCCUACGGGAGGCAGCAGUAGGGAAUCUUCCGCAAUGGGCGAAAGCCUGACGGAGCAACGCCGCGUGAGUGAUGAAGGUCUUCGGAUCGUAAAACUCUGUUAUUAGGGAAGAACAAAUGUGUAAGUAACUAUGCACGUCUUGACGGUACCUAAUCAGAAAGCCACGGCUAACUACGUG
RNAcentral lists this ribosomal RNA (497 nucleotides) under uncultured bacterium. Its description in RNAcentral is "partial 16S ribosomal RNA". It matches the Rfam family "Bacterial small subunit ribosomal RNA", at positions 28 to 507 of the family's 1533-position model. The record is from RNAcentral.